Molecule: ribosomal RNA, 239 nt
Filed under: uncultured bacterium
Lineage: Bacteria
Description: partial 16S ribosomal RNA
Rfam family: Bacterial small subunit ribosomal RNA
Source: RNAcentral
GCGUUGUCCGGAUUUACUGGGCGUAAAGGGUGCGCAGGCGGCCUCGCGCGUCGCGAGUGAAAUCUCCCGGCUCAACUGGGAGGGUGGUCGCGAGACGGCGGGGCUUGAGGCUCGGUGAGGGGCGUGGAAUUCCGGGUGGAGCGGUGAAAUGCGCAGAUAUCAGGAAGAACACCCGUGGCUAAGGCGGCUCUCUAGUACGGUACUGACGCUGAGACGCGAAAGCGUGGGGAGCGAACAGG